This 492-nucleotide ribosomal RNA is filed under the name uncultured bacterium. RNAcentral describes it as "partial 16S ribosomal RNA". It matches the Rfam family "Bacterial small subunit ribosomal RNA", at positions 29 to 507 of the family's 1533-position model. The record is from RNAcentral.
AGUGAACGCUGGCGGUAGGCCUAACACAUGCAAGUCGAACGGCAGCACAGUAAGAGCUUGCCCUUACGGGUGGCGAGUGGCGGACGGGUGAGGAAUACAUCGGCAUCUACUUUUUCGUGGGGGAUAACGUAGGGAAACUUACGCUAAUACCGCAUACGACCUACGGGUGAAAGCAGGGGAUCUUCAGACCUUGCGCGACUGAAUGAGCCGAAGUCGGAUUAGCUAGUUGGCGGGGUAAAGGCCCACCAAGGCGACGAUCCGUAGCUGGUCUGAGAGGAUGAUCAGCCACACUGGAACUGAGACACGGUCCAGACUCCUACGGGAGGCAGCAGUGGGGAAUAUUGCACAAUGGGCGCAAGCCUGACCCAGCCAUGCCGCGUGGGUGAUGAAGGCCUUCGGGUUGUAAAGCCCUUUUGUUGGGAAAGAAAAGCAGCAGGUUAAUACCCCGCUGUUCUGACGGUACCCAAAGAGUAAGCACCGGCUAACUUCGUG